This 78-nucleotide small RNA is filed under the name Klebsiella pneumoniae. Its description in RNAcentral is "partial RtT sRNA". It matches the Rfam family "RtT RNA", at positions 54 to 130 of the family's 130-position model. From Rfam's summary of the family: This family represents a bacterial cis-regulatory element known as RtT RNA. The exact function of RtT is unknown although it is thought that it may be involved in changing the cellular response in relation to amino acid starvation. The record is from RNAcentral. Lineage: Bacteria; Pseudomonadati; Pseudomonadota; Gammaproteobacteria; Enterobacterales; Enterobacteriaceae.
GAAGCGAGAGAACGUUGCCGCUGGCAAUGGCCCGAAGGCGAGGCGCUUUAGCGCCGAGUAAUCCUUCCCCCACCACUG